GCGCAUCUACCCCACCAUACAUGCCUUUGGUCAAAGUUGCAGAAGCCUGUGGUUGGGCGUGAACCCAGCACUUUGCAGAAGUGUGAAUUCUUAAUUUACCUCCCCCACAGCCACACACACAGGAGUGAAGGCAGCAGAGCCAAGCAGGAACCCGUCCUGCCCCAGGCCUGAGCUUUCUUAAGAGGCUCAUGGGGCAGAAAGGAGGACACCAGUCAUUGCAUGGAAGGUCCACCCUAACCCAGGAUGACCUCAUCUUAACUAAUUACAUUUGCAAAGACCCUAAGGCACAUUCACAGGGUCAUUGUGCAUUUUUGUUGACUAUUGAUUCUCCCCUUCAUUCAACAACUGUACUGAGGCCAGAUCCCAAACUGAGCUCUGACGAGAUGGAGAAGCAAAGGACACGGUUCCUGCCCCCAAGGAGCUCCCAGACAAGCAGGAGAGAAGGUGGCUCCCAGACAAGCAGGAGAGAAGGCAGCUCCCAGACAAGCAGGAGAGAAGGCCGUGGAAAUGAUCCUUCUGAUACCACAGCCUGCCGAUGUCAUCUAGAACUCUGGGGGAUUGGGGGAAAACGAACAGAACCAGAUUAAAAAAAAAACCCUGUCCUUAGCUAGGUGUGGUGGUGGGCACCUGUUAUCCCAGCUACUUGG
RNAcentral lists this long non-coding RNA (647 nucleotides) under Homo sapiens (human). Its description in RNAcentral is "HSALNT0379092". The record is from RNAcentral. Lineage: Eukaryota; Metazoa; Chordata; Mammalia; Primates; Hominidae.